Molecule: unclassified non-coding RNA, 277 nt
Filed under: Hevea brasiliensis (rubber tree)
Lineage: Eukaryota; Viridiplantae; Streptophyta; Magnoliopsida; Malpighiales; Euphorbiaceae
Source: RNAcentral
AUAAUGGAGAGGUUUGUGCUUGUUGGGAUUUUGUGUGCCCAUGUGAUGGUGGCCUUAAGGCCUACUAUAUCGGACGCUCUGAAAAUGUUGGAAGGAGACAUUGAAGUUCCGCCUGUUCCUGAUCGGCCGAUGCCUCUUAGCCAUCCUUCAUCUUUUGGUGAUGGCUUCACCAUCUCCCCAGCACUGAGUUUUCCACAAUUGAAUAGUGGAGACAUGCUCAGGUAAGCAUUGCCUAAAUGGAUGUAGGAAAGUGGAGCAAUAUUUAUAUACAAAUCAU